GUGCCAGCAGCCGCGGUAAUACGGAGGGUGCAAGCGUUGUCCGGAAUCACUGGGUGUAAAGGGUGUGCAGGCGGGGCAGCAAGUCGGAUGUGAAAGCCCGUGGCUCAACCACGGAAGCGCCUUCGAUACUGCUGCUCUUGAGUCCCGGAGAGGCUGUCGGAAUUCGUGGUGUAGCGGUGAAAUGCCUAGAUAUCACGAGGAACACCAGAGGCGAAAGCGGACAGCUGGACGUGUACUGUCGCUCAGGCACGAAAGCGUGGGGAGCAAACAGGAUUAGAAACCCAGUAGUCC
Molecule: ribosomal RNA, 291 nt
Filed under: uncultured bacterium
Lineage: Bacteria
Description: partial 16S ribosomal RNA
Rfam family: Bacterial small subunit ribosomal RNA
Source: RNAcentral